RNAcentral lists this ribosomal RNA (415 nucleotides) under uncultured crenarchaeote. RNAcentral's name for it is "partial 16S ribosomal RNA". It matches the Rfam family "Archaeal small subunit ribosomal RNA", at positions 330 to 747 of the family's 1478-position model. Lineage: Archaea; Thermoproteati; Thermoproteota. The record is from RNAcentral.
GUGCAGCAGUCGCGAAAACUCCGCAAUACGCGAAAGCGUGACGGGGCCAUCCCGAGUGCCGUCCGCUGAGGAUGGCUUUUCCCUAGUGUAGAUAGCUGGGGGAAUAAGGAGAGGGCAAGUCUGGUGUCAGCCGCCGCGGUAAUACCAGCUCUUCGAGUGGUAGGGAUGUUUAUUGGGCCUGAAGCAUCCGUAGCUGGCCUUUCAAGUCUCUUGUUAAAUCCAGCGAUUCAAUCGUUGGACUGCGGGAGAUACUGUUAGGCUAGGGAGCGGGAGAAGCCGACGGUAUUUCCGGGGUAGGGGUAAAAUCCUAUAAUCCCGGGAGGACCACCAGUGGCGAAGGCUGUUGGCUAGAACACGCCCGACGGUGAGGGAUGAAAGCUGGGGGAGCGAACCGGAUUAGAUACCCGUGUAGUCC